UAGCAUAUCAAUAAGCGGAGGAAAAGAAACUAACAAGGAUUCCCUUAGUAACUGCGAGUGAAGUGGGAUGAGCUCAAAUUUAAAAUCUGGUGGUCUCUGGCUGCCCGAGUUGUAAUCUAGAGAAGUGUUUUCUGUGCUGGACUGUGUUUAAGUUUCCUGGAUAUGGAACAUCAUAGAGGGUGAGAAUCCCGUCCUUAAUACAGACUACCAGUGCUAUGUGAUACACUCUCAACGAGUCGAGUUGUUUGGGAUUGCAGCUCAAAAUGGGAGGUAAAUUCCUUCUAAAGCUAAAUAUUGGCGAGAGACCGAUAGCGAACAAGUACCGUGAGGGAAAGAUGAAAAGCACUUUGGAAAGAGAGUUAAACAGUACGUGAAAUUGUUAAAAGGGAAACAAUUGAAGUCAGUUGCAUUUACUUGGACUCAGCCUUACUUUUGGUUUGGUGCAUUUCCUUGUGGAUGGGCCAGUGUGCAUGUUGAUUACUGGAAAAGGGGCUAGGGAAUGUGGCUCUUUUGGGAGUGUUAUAGCCUUGGCUCAUAUACAGUAAUUAAUAUGGAGUGCUACAGCAUGCUUCGGUGGUGCUUGUGCUGGCAUAAUGGCUUUAAAUGACCCGUCUUGAAACACGGACCAAGGAGUCUAACAUGUCUGCAAGUAUUUGGGUGAUAAACUCAAAUGCGUAAUGAAAGUGAUAGCUGGGAACCUUGAAAGGGGGGCACCAGUACCCCGAGCGGAUCUUCUGUGAUGCAUCGGAGGUAGAGCAUAUAUGUUGGGACCCGAAAGAUGGUGAACUAUGCCUGAAUAGGGUGAAGCCAGAGGAAACUCUGGUGGAGGCUCGUAGCGAUUCUGACGUGCAAAUCGAUCGUCAAAUUUGGGUAUAGGGGCGAAAGACUAAUCGAACCAUCUAGUAGCUGGUUCCUGCC
RNAcentral lists this ribosomal RNA (918 nucleotides) under Hydnum pallidocroceum. RNAcentral's name for it is "partial large subunit ribosomal RNA". It matches the Rfam family "Eukaryotic large subunit ribosomal RNA", at positions 36 to 962 of the family's 3401-position model. Lineage: Eukaryota; Fungi; Basidiomycota; Agaricomycetes; Cantharellales; Hydnaceae. The record is from RNAcentral.